This 382-nucleotide ribosomal RNA is filed under the name Pristurus rupestris rupestris. Its description in RNAcentral is "partial 12S ribosomal RNA". It matches the Rfam family "Bacterial small subunit ribosomal RNA", at positions 796 to 1382 of the family's 1533-position model. The record is from RNAcentral. Lineage: Eukaryota; Metazoa; Chordata; Lepidosauria; Squamata; Sphaerodactylidae.
UUAGACGUAACCUCUGAUUGCUCCACUACCAACAAUCCGCCAGAGGACUACAAGUGAUAAACUUUAAACUCUAAGGACCUGACGGUGUCCCACCCGUACUAGAGGAGCCUGUCCUAUAAUCGACACUCCACGUUAUACCUCACCCCCCCUUGCCACCCCAAUCUAUAUACCGCCGUCGCCAGUUCACAAUGUGAGUGUACCACCGUGAGCAAAACCAUCAACCAUAAAAACGACAGGUCAAGGUGUAGUUUAUGGGGGGGGAAGUGAUGGGCUACAUUUUCUCCACUAGAAAAUACCAACCGCACCGUGAAACUUAUGCCCACAGGCGGAUUUAGAAGUAAGCUUGGCAAGACAUGCCAACCUGAAACCAGCCCUGGGACGC